UCUGAUAAGCGAUGAAAGGGAAUCCGGUCAGAGUCCGGAACAGUGCCCGCUACUGUAAGUUCUUUAGUCUUUUUAACAAAUCCAAUUGUCACUUCUAAAAACAUUAGAGGGAAGACCGUUAAAAAGAGAACAAGUCAGGAAACCUGCCAUGAACAAAU
This 158-nucleotide non-coding RNA is filed under the name uncultured Dysgonomonas sp. The record is from RNAcentral. Lineage: Bacteria; Pseudomonadati; Bacteroidota; Bacteroidia; Bacteroidales; Dysgonomonadaceae.